RNAcentral lists this non-coding RNA (29 nucleotides) under Mus musculus (house mouse). The record is from RNAcentral. Lineage: Eukaryota; Metazoa; Chordata; Mammalia; Rodentia; Muridae.
AAGAAAGCAAUGCAGCAGAGGUCUCAGAG